GAGGGUAUAGCUCAGUGGUAGAGCACUUGCUUAGCAUGCACGAGGUCCUGGAUUCAAUCCCCAGUACUUUAU
Molecule: transfer RNA, 72 nt
Filed under: Camelus bactrianus (Bactrian camel)
Lineage: Eukaryota; Metazoa; Chordata; Mammalia; Artiodactyla; Camelidae
Also listed under: 2 other names
Rfam family: tRNA
About the family: Transfer RNA (tRNA) molecules are approximately 80 nucleotides in length. Their secondary structure includes four short double-helical elements and three loops (D, anti-codon, and T loops). Further hydrogen bonds mediate the characteristic L-shaped molecular structure. tRNAs have two regions of fundamental functional importance: the anti-codon, which is responsible for specific mRNA codon recognition, and the 3' end, to which the tRNAs corresponding amino acid is attached (by aminoacyl-tRNA synthetases). tRNAs cope with the degeneracy of the genetic code in two manners: having more than one tRNA (with a specific anti-codon) for a particular amino acid; and 'wobble' base-pairing, i.e. permitting non-standard base-pairing at the 3rd anti-codon position.
Source: Rfam by way of RNAcentral